RNAcentral lists this ribosomal RNA (254 nucleotides) under uncultured bacterium. Its description in RNAcentral is "partial 16S ribosomal RNA". It matches the Rfam family "Bacterial small subunit ribosomal RNA", at positions 524 to 777 of the family's 1533-position model. The record is from RNAcentral.
UACGUAGGAGGCAAGCGUUGUCCGGAAUUACUGGGCGUAAAGCGCGUGUAGGCGGUCUGAAUAGUCUGCUGUGAAAGCGCCUGGCUUAACCGGGCGAGGUCGGCGGAAACUCUCAGACUGGAGGCCGGUAGAGGGGGGUGGAAUUCCCGGUGUAGUGGUGAAAUGCGUAGAGAUCGGGAGGAACACCUGUGGCGAAGGCGGCCCCCUGGGCCGCGCCUGACGCUGAGACGCGAAGGCUAGGGGAGCGAAACGGG